CAGUUGAUUGCGGCCAACCAACCACCUGCUGGCGGACCCACAACCUCUCGGUCAAGUCAAUCAGAUCAUGACAAAGUCAUCCUGCAAUUUGGAAAGAUAGGCAAAGAUAUGUUCACUAUGGAUUACAGGUAUCCACUGUCUGCAGUUCAGGCUUUUGCUAUAUGCUUGAGCAGCUUUGACACCAAAUUGGCAUGUGAAUAGAAGGAAAACGUUGUUACCUUAGGAUGCAAAAAAAUUUAACCGCGAUGGCUUUGUUUUGGAUAUAUUUUAUUUUGUUUUUUAUUUUCGCCAGUAGAAUUAGGGGUUGUCCCUAAUCUUGUAAAAACCUGAUUUAAUCGCAACACUGAUCUUGUGAUCUUGUGCCAGUGGUGCCAAACACUUCAUGCUCUGGACUGUGCAAUGACACUCUGUUGACCACAGUUCUGGGCUGUUGACAUUGUGUGGCUAUCCAUGGGAAUUAUACACUUGGUCUGAUUAACUGAAAUGC
RNAcentral lists this long non-coding RNA (487 nucleotides) under Nicotiana benthamiana. RNAcentral's name for it is "long non-coding RNA (NBEN_LNC037208)". The record is from RNAcentral. Lineage: Eukaryota; Viridiplantae; Streptophyta; Magnoliopsida; Solanales; Solanaceae.